AGAGUUUGAUCCUGGCUCAGGAUGAACGCUGGCGGCGUGCUUAACACAUGCAAGUCGAACGAUGACUUUUGUGCUUGCACAAAAUGAUUAGUGGCGAACGGGUGAGUAACACGUGAGUAACCUGCCCUUAACUUCGGGAUAAGCCUGGGAAACUGGGUCUAAUACCGGAUACGACCUCCUGACGCAUGUCAUGGGGGUGGAAAGUUUGAUGCGGUUUUGGAUGGACUCGCGGCCUAUCAGCUAGUUGGUUGGGGUAAUGGCCCACCAAGGCGACGACGGGUAGCCGGCCUGAGAGGGUGACCGGCCACACUGGGACUGAGACACGGCCCAGACUCCUACGGGAGGCAGCAGUGGGGAAUAUUGCACAAUGGGCGAAAGCCUGAUGCAGCGACGCCGCGUGAGGGACGAAGGCCUUCGGGUUGUAAACCUCUUUCAGCAGAGAAGAAGCGAAAGUGACGGUACCUGCAGAAGAAGCGCCGGCUAACUACGUGCCAGCAGCCACGGUAAUACGUAGGGCGCAAGCGUUAUCCGGAAUUAUUGGGCGUAAAGAGCUCGUAGGCGGUUUGUCGCGUCUGCUGUGAAAGCCCGGGGCUCAACCCCGGGUCUGCAGUGGGUACGGGCAGACUAGAGUGCAGUAGGGGAGACUGGAAUUCCUGGUGUAGCGGUGAAAUGCGCAGAUAUCAGGAGGAACACCGAUGGCGAAGGCAGGUCUCUGGGCUGUAACUGACGCUGAGGAGCGAAAGCAUGGGGAGCGAACAGGAUUAGAUACCCUGGUAGUCC
Molecule: ribosomal RNA, 780 nt
Filed under: uncultured microorganism
Description: bacterial SSU rRNA
Rfam family: Bacterial small subunit ribosomal RNA
Source: RNAcentral